This 484-nucleotide long non-coding RNA is filed under the name Rattus norvegicus (Norway rat). RNAcentral describes it as "long non-coding RNA NONRATT010458". The record is from RNAcentral. Lineage: Eukaryota; Metazoa; Chordata; Mammalia; Rodentia; Muridae.
UGCAGUACCCAGCCCAAGCCAUAAAGGUGCUCUUGGCAGGGUUUAAACCUCCCUUGAGUGACUCAGGAAAAACAAGAAUACCCUACUGUCCCAGGUGGAGCAUGGAGGCGUUGUGGACUAUGAUAGACUGUCUCCAAGGGAAACAACUUUAUGCUUCCUCUGUGGCUCAGGCACCAGAACAGAUAGUGACAUUAUAUGAAGAUGAACAAUACCCAGUUCACAUGUCCUUGGUAGAAAUGGGGCUUGCAGAUAAAGAUGAAUGAUGUGUACAAGAGCUCCUGCAGCUGUCCAGAAAAAGUUUUGUUAGAUUUGUACCAUUUCAGGUUUGAUUUUAUCUUGUUCUGCAGUGCUGUCUUUUUUUUCCUCCUUUAGUCUUACUUGGUAAAUUGUUAAGGAAUUGUGUGAAAAGUUAAUGUUUUCUUUGAAACAUUUUUGUUUUGUUUUUAUUUUUAUUGUAAUUUCAAAAUAAAAAUUAGCCAUAUAG